AUUGGACGCUGGCGGCAUGCUUUACACAUGCAAGUCGAACGGCAGCGCGGGCUUCGGCCUGGCGGCGAGUGGCGAACGGGUGAGUAAUACAUCGGAACGUGCCCAGUAGUGGGGGAUAGCUCGGCGAAAGCCGGAUUAAUACCGCAUACGACCUGAGGGUGAAAGCGGGGGAUCUUCGGACCUCGCGCUAUUGGAGCGGCCGAUGGCAGAUUAGCUAGUUGGUGGGGUAAAGGCCUACCAAGGCGACGAUCUGUAGCUGGUCUGAGAGGACGACCAGCCACACUGGGACUGAGACACGGCCCAGACUCCUACGGGAGGCAGCAGUGGGGAAUUUUGGACAAUGGGCGAAAGCCUGAUCCAGCAAUGCCGCGUGUGUGAUGAAGGCCUUCGGGUUGUAAAGCACUUUUGGCGGGAACGAAAAGGACUGUGCAAAUACCACGGUUCGAUGACGGUACCCGCAGAAUAAGCACCGGCUAACUACGUG
RNAcentral lists this ribosomal RNA (484 nucleotides) under uncultured bacterium. RNAcentral describes it as "partial 16S ribosomal RNA". It matches the Rfam family "Bacterial small subunit ribosomal RNA", at positions 29 to 507 of the family's 1533-position model. The record is from RNAcentral.